AACCUCACAUAUCCAAAAUACUGUCAUCUCAAUAUGUAAUUAAUAUAUAAUUAUUAAUAGUAUUUUACAUUUGUCAUACCAAGUCUUUGAAAUCUAUAGCACAUUUCAAUUCAGAUGUUAAUUUUCACUGGAAAUAUUCUCUGUAUUUAGAUUUCUUAAAAUUUACAUUUCAAAAGUAAAUUCACACACCCACAUUCCAGAUGUAAAGUUUUCCCGUAACUGAAUCUCAUUUAUCAGAUUUUAAAUUUAAAUUAAUUUUGGAUCUUCAACAGCCACAUCUCAGGGCAACGCCGGAUCGUUAACCCACUGAACAAGGCCCAGGGAUCGAAUCCGCAACUUCAUGGUUCCUAGUCGGAUUCGUUAACCACUGAGCCACAACGGGAACUCCGGACAUUCUGAUUUAUACUUAAGGAUAACUGAUCCGGAAGAGAAAAGUUGCAUUUAUUAAGGUAUGUAACCCUGAGUUUGCAUCUAGGCUUUCAUUAAGAGUAACACAAGAGCCAGAUUGCCAGUGGUCUGCAUUCCUAGCCUGAAAAUUCUUAGAUUAAAUUUCAGAUUGGCUAAUUGCUUUGCCUAUUUGAAGGGAAUAAAGUUAAGGACGUGGAGAUUGGUGAGUGACUGUCAGUAAAUGACUGCAGAGAAUUGUGGACGUCAGGACAGGAUCCCUGUGGCUCCUUUGGAACCGUUCUCGAGGGACACAGGAAUUAAGUUAUACCCUUUGAGAACUGAUUUUGAAGGGAGAGCAUUCCAAGGUCAGGCUCGUUAGUACAGUUGGUACCAGGAAACUUGGAAAGGAGACGCAAAGCCAGACCAAGGGAGGGAAUGCUGCACUUGGGUAUUUCAAGGAAGGUAGGAAUGCUUUCUGCUGGGGCCGGGGGUGGGCCUUAAAAAUAGUAAUAGUAAAUAAUAAAUGACUGUCAAUAAAGACACUUAACUAUCUUGUACAUGUUAGAUAACAGGAAAUCUGGACAGAGGCAGUCUGGUCUAGUUAAGCAGGUAGGCGAUGCCAUCACUCACCCAGGCACCCAGGCAUUCUCUACUUUUUCACUGUGUACUUUCCUAGAAACCAUACAACAAAUUGUAAAUUUUUGUAUGAUAAUGAUGUCAUAUUUGGAGUUAAUCUCCAAUUAAGGACUCAGCCUUAAGUAAACAAAAAUAUGGUCAGCAAAGUCCUAAAGCCAAAUACACAGUGAUUGAAACUCUGUAACUGUUUAACAUAGUAUAAUCCUGCUCGAGCUUAUUAAAGGGGCACAUGCGCACUGUGUGCAUUGGAUAUGCAUUCCUUCAUUGAAGAAGCAUACCAUGGUACCCUUUAAUAAGUGAUGCAAGGUGCAUUUGCUAGCUCUACAUUGAAUUUUUAAUUAAUAAUGUCAGUCCAUCUUAAGUCAUGAGGGCUUUUGGAGGGUGAGUUUAAUGGUCUAGAACGGAUCAUUAAAGUUGCCCACACAGACUUCCUUCGGUUUCCUCUUUAGCAAGAAGGCUUUCAGAAUUUCAUCUUAAGGCGUGUUCAUUAGCGUGUUCAUUAAUGAUGAUUGUGGGUUUUGCCCACUACAAUCAUAAAGUACAUUAUAAAUUGCAUAAUAAUACUUUUAUCCAUUACAAACCAAUCUAUUAUUUUAAAACUUUGGAAAUUACAGAAAGUAUUAAAGUGUCAGAACAGUCACCCGUAUUGUUUCCACCUAAAGAUGACCGGUAUAAAUAUUUUGGCUUAUUUUCUGUUAAUCUUGCAUGUGGUUGUUAAAAAUAAGUCUUGAAUCAGCUUUUGCCCUUGCUUCUUCAGGAUUCUUCAGUUUUUUUUUGAGAACUCUAAGCAGAGCUGAUAGAUCAGAUACAGCCCUCUGAGAAGCAAUGAUGCUGUUGAGACUCUUGCUUGACAGUAUUUUUAUGCAUAUUAGACUUAACUCAUACUUCAAUGAAAAACAAUAAAAAGCAAUUACUGGCUACACUGCUGGAGAAAAAAAGGCUUCAAAAAUUCAUAGAAUUAAUAAGGCAAACUGAAUGUAGACAUGUAGUUAAGACCAGUAGUUUGUGAAGUCAGAAAUGAAGGGUUAAAGGCAGUGCUCGAAGUCUGGGGCACUAGAACCGCAGAACUCAGGAGCAGUAGAGGGCGAUACACUGGCCGUCUAGGCUCUAGUCUGACUCCCCAUUUUUCUGGGUGGGGAAUCAAGCCCUCAGCAGCGAAUGAUUUAUCCAGGAUUAUACAGAGGGGUAUUAUAAGCUGACUUCCAGUUUAUUCUUCUCCUAAACACAAAGCAGCGAAACAUGGCCCUGAUUUUAUGGAAAAUGAAUUCUGCAAAUAUUAAUGCUUACCCAGAUUCUCCUUAACAGUAGUAUGGUCUCUGUGGAAAAGGAAUGAGAACACCAUAAACUUGUAGAUUCAAGCACCUAACUGCAAAUUCUGGACAUUUCCCUUUUUAUAUACUCAACCUUUGUUUGCUAUUUGAUCAUUUUAAAGUACAUUACAUAUUAAAAUCAUUAUAACUAUAAUUGAAAUGAUAUAGUAUAUAUUAAACAUUAAUUGGGAAAUAUGUUCCCACAGUAGGGCAAAAAGACAAGUUAUUAUUGUAAGGCUUACGCAGUGUUCCAUUGACACGCACAAUACUGAUAAAGCAUUACCAAUUACAAAACAAAAGAAAUGAAUUACGAAUAUGUAGACAUCACUAGGUCAGGAGAGAUGGCGGAGACAAGGCCAAUAUGUAUUUUCAGGCAACGUCCCUAAGAUACACAGAAGCAAAUUUUAGAGAAAAGUAAAAAAAAAAAAAAA
Molecule: long non-coding RNA, 2764 nt
Filed under: Sus scrofa (pig)
Lineage: Eukaryota; Metazoa; Chordata; Mammalia; Artiodactyla; Suidae
Description: lncRNA (ENSSSCG00055002451.1)
Source: RNAcentral